AGUGAUACCCGGUCCCACUCAGCAGAGAUUCUGGUGAAAUUGGUUUGGGAUCGGGCUCGCACACCGGUAGGUUGGAAGAGUUCCCCAGGUGAUGCUAAUGUGUAGCUGGGCUUGAGAACCACUGCAAUCGGGGCUGACCAGUGAAGUGAUUUGCUUCUGAUAACCUGAAAACCCGAAUCCACAUGGGUCUGAUCCUCCACUCUGGGGUUCUUCCGACAAACUCAGAGUUCUCCGUGGCUUUGGCAUCUGUCUGAAUCGAAAGCAAAUUCUUGGCGAUCAAGUCUACUCCUCCUUAAUCCAAAGGGAAUCCAAUUCGCUUCAAAUACAGUGCCAAAAGAACUUCUGUUUUUCGUUUUGUUUUGUUUGGUGAGGAAGAUGGGCCUGAGCUAACGUCUGUGCCAGUCUUUCUGUAUUUUGUAUGUGGGAUGCUGCCACAGCAUGGCUUGAUGAGUGCUGUGUAGGUCCUGCCCAGGAUCCGGGCCUGCGAACCCCGGGCUCCCGAGGCAAAGCACGCAAACUUAACCACUACACCACCAGGCCGGCCCCAAGCGCUUCUGGUUUUUGCCUCUCUCUCAAACUGUUCGUGUGUUUCAUGCCUGGGAACUGCAUUCUUCAGCCAAGUUGGAGAAAUCCCUAUAAAAAUAGUCCCCUUUCCUGAGUGCCUGGUGUAGUUAAGGCACUUGACAUGCAGUUUCAUUUAAUCCCCAGAACCCUCUUACGAGGUGAGUUUUGUUGACACCAGUUUAUAGAUGAGCAAACUGACAUGCAGAGAGGCUAAGGAUUCUAACCUGUGUCUAAGCUGAUACAGCUGGGAUUCCAACCCAAGCAUUCAUGUGCUUCCCCUCACCACCUGUGCCUCCCGCGCUGCCCAGAGCACGGGGCAGCUGGCAGACAGUGGCGUUGUGCCCUGGAUCCGCAGAGGAAAGACGACUCUGUGAAGGAUUGAUAUUCUCCAACACAGAGCGGAUCGAUGCACGUAAUUCUUGCAGAUUUCCUUUGGCUUUGCGCCGUGAGGGAGGGAGACAGUUGGAAACGUCCUGAUUUUGAGAGGAAGCCGGUGUUUCCUGAAGCCUUUGUUUUGGGUGCGCCUUAACCGCACCUGCGUUUCUUGCAGCUUCUUACAAAGAAACUUCUUUUUUUGUUUUGAGAGUCAAAAUAGUUGAACUGAAGUUAUUUUCAACCGGAGGGAAAUGUUUGAAAGCUCAGCCUUUGUGAGCCCAAAGAGCAUUGUUUCAUCGACAGUGAUUGAAACAGUCAUUUCCUUUGGGAAGUCUUUGCCAUUGAAGCAAACUUUGAUUUUGGAAGCAAAAGUUUUGGCUUUAAAGAUGGGAUCCAAGUGUUACACCUUCUUCUCAUAGCUCCCCGGCCAUUUAUCGGAGUGCUGUGAUAGUAAGGUUGUUUGCAUUUGAACAGAAAGACCUGCUCUGGCCAGCUGGGCUGAUGCUAAGAGGCAGUAUAGUUCAGUGGUGAGGAGCACAUCCCUUACAGCUGGGCUGCCUGGGUUUGCCUCACUCUGCCACUUGCAAGCUGGAAUCUUCGGCAAAUUACAUAACUGUCCCGAACUUCAGUUUCUGCCUUUAUAAAAUGGGGAUGAAGAUAGUAUUUAUUUCCUAUGAUUUUUUAUAAUUAUUAAUUAACAUAAUAAAAAGUACUUAAAUCCAAUAA
This is a long non-coding RNA of Equus asinus (donkey), 1665 nucleotides long. NCBI's taxonomy places the organism in Eukaryota, Metazoa, Chordata, Mammalia, Perissodactyla, Equidae. The record is from Ensembl.